GCAAUUAGUAUUCAUUUGAAUGACGUGACAAACAGUCAACAAUGUGCAUAAUUUGCGAUGGACAAACUUUGCCUUUCAUUUGUCUUUCUCAAUUCUUGUUUAUCCGUUUGAUCCCGAUGGUAUACAGCUGUGAAAUGUUAUCCAUUAUUAUUGUUUGAUACGACGGGUGUUCUAUUAUGAAGACUCUUCCGCAGAAUUAGAAAUUUUUAAACAGAUGAAUAUUCCUCAAACUAGAAUACCUAAUCAAAUGGUACCUCAUGCAGAUACGAAGAUCGCUCUUCUCGGUUGCGGACCAGCUUCUCUCUUAUGUGCGACAUUUCUCGCUCGACUUGGUUACAAUGAUAUUACGAUCUUUGAAAGAGAAAAAUAUAUAGGCGGGUUAAGUUCUU
Molecule: non-coding RNA, 389 nt
Organism: Linepithema humile (Argentine ant)
Lineage: Eukaryota; Metazoa; Arthropoda; Insecta; Hymenoptera; Formicidae
Source: RefSeq, a predicted model, not a curated record